This 442-nucleotide ribosomal RNA is filed under the name uncultured soil bacterium. RNAcentral describes it as "bacterial SSU rRNA". It matches the Rfam family "Bacterial small subunit ribosomal RNA", at positions 26 to 518 of the family's 1533-position model. The record is from RNAcentral.
AGAACGAACGCUGGCGGCAUGCCUAAUACAUGCAAGUCGAACGAACUCUUCGGAGUUAGUGGCGCACGGGUGCGUAACGCGUGGGAAUCUGCCCUUGGGUUCGGAAUAACAGUUGGAAACGACUGCUAAUACCGGAUGAUGACGAAAGUCCAAAGAUUUAUCGCCCAGGGAUGAGCCCGCGUAGGAUUAGCUAGUUGGUGAGGUAAAGGCUCACCAAGGCGACGAUCCUUAGCUGGUCUGAGAGGAUGAUCAGCCACACUGGGACUGAGACACGGCCCAGACUCCUACGGGAGGCAGCAGUAGGGAAUAUGGACAAUGGGCGAAAGCCUGAUCCAGCGAUGCCGCGUGAGUGAUGAAGGCCUUAGGUUGUAAAGCUCUUUACCCGAGAUGACAAUGACAGUAUCGGAGAAUAAGCCCCGGCUAACUCCGCGCCAGCAGCCGC